This 346-nucleotide non-coding RNA is filed under the name Polysiphonia sp. Lineage: Eukaryota; Rhodophyta; Florideophyceae; Ceramiales; Rhodomelaceae. The record is from RNAcentral.
GGGGCUGAAAGGAAUUCUACAUUUUGAUAUAAUUAUUGCAUUAGAUUUAAUUAAUUUUACUUUAUAAUAGUACAAGCUUUUCUUUAAUUGCAAAACAUAACAUCGUUUCUUUUUCUAAUAGUUUAUUAGUUGUGUAAAUUUUUAGUAUUGUAAAUUGUGAAUUCCUUAGUCAAUUUAUACGUUUAUUCAAGAUUGCACUAUUUUUAUUUAAUUUAAAAAGAAUACUUAGUAUUUGAUUAGUAAAGUACAGAUUUUAUAGUAUUAAAUUGGAUAAAAAGUGACGAAUUAAAUUAUUGCUUUAAUUGUUAUAUUAAUAUGGACGUGGGUUCGAAUCCCACCAGCUCCA